GGGCGUUUCUGUGCGCUGCUCUGGUUCGCCAGAAGCGGAUUAGUCCUGCUGGCCACAUGACCCGGAAGCUGUACACCGGCUCCCUCAGCCAGUAAAGCGAGAUGAGAAACCGCAACCCCAGAGUCGUUCGUGACUGGACCCUAACGGUCAGGGGUCCCUUUUUAAGGAGUCUCACAGCGGCCAACAAUCUCCUUUCCCUUCCUCCCCCGCAACAAACACUCUGUGAGGUGAGUGAGGCCGAGAGACUUCAGAGAAGUGUGACUAGCCCAAGGUCACCCAGCAGCUGUAUGUGGAGGAGUGGGGAAGCGAACCCACUUCACCAGAUUACAAGUCCACCGCUCUUAACCACUACACCACACUGGCGCUGUGGAUGCAGCAAUGACCUGCAAAUGAAAAACAAAACAAAACUCUGCUUCUGUGGAUGCCAGGAAGAGACCAUCCGUUCCCAGCAAGUAGAGCUGAGUUUACAUGACACAAACGGGAAAUGGCCGUGCAGUUAUUCGCUUGUGGGGAAUGGCCUCCUCUUCCUUCUCUAUCAUGAAGCAGCGAACAUCAAAAUAGAUUAGAAAUGAGGCUAUGGAACAAAAAUGGAGGGAAGCCUUAACACACAGGGCUUUUGUCAUGCACCUCUUUACUGUACCCUUUGACACCAUACAGAGCCGGCCCUGGGAUUUUCCUGAACCCUCCUUUUAAUAAAAAGGUAAAGGGACCCCUGACCAUUAGGUCCAGUCGUGGCCAACUCUGGGGUUGCGAUGCUCACCUCGCUUUAUUGGCCGAGGGAGCUGGCAUACAGCUUCCGGGUCAUGUGGCCAGCAUGACUAAGCCGCUUCUGGUGAAACCAGAGCAGCACAUGGAAACGCCGUUUACCUUCCCACCGGAGCGGUACCUAUUUAUCUACUUGCACUUUGACGUGCUUUCGAACUGCUAGGUUGGCAGGAGCAGGGACCGAGCAACAGGAGCUCACCCUGUCGCUGGGAUUCGAACCACCGACCUUCUGAUCGGCAAGUCCUAGGCUCUGUGGUUUACCCCACAGCACCACCCGCAUCCCUUUUAAUACGCCAUCCCUAAUCCUAACGUCCUUCCCUACCAGAACAUCAGGACAGUCCUUAAACGGGUAGGAUAAAUAAAAGAUGACGUCCAUUGCAUCCUUUUUAGCAAGGGAAGCUAUUGGCACGUUCCCGUUAAUUGCCAUUUUGCUGCGCUGGGAGUUCCGGCGUGCAUUUUGAAAGGACCAUUAACCUUUCCUGUUCCUCUUUUGCAUCGCAUCUCGGGGCUAGGCCAGCUUCAAGGCAAACAUUAUGAGCCUCUCCGUUACUCCUUCUCAAAGGCCUUUACGAUGCCCUGUUCGUUUUCAAAUGAGCUGACGUUUACGCCCAAGCGCUUCCUGCCUCGCUGGUAAUUGGCGUCUGGUUGCUACAUUCUCCGCAGGCACACUUAAAACUCCAGCCACGAAUUCAAACUCGCUGUGAUGGCAGAAGUUCUGUGUGUGUCCAAACUGCCCCAAUAACACAGAAAGAUGGGGGUGGGGGCGAGUAGAGCAUGAGAUUCUUAAUCUCAGGGUCGUGCGUUCAAGCCCCACGUUGGGCAAAAGAUUCCUGCAUUUUUUAGGGACCAUGAGGGUCUUGAAGAUAAGAUGGUGUGAUGACCUGGGACUCGGGCUCAAACUCUGAACCAGAGGAGUCUCAGUCUGCACCGGAUCCUUUGCCUCAGGCAUCACCUGAACCAAGUCUGGGGCCUGAUCUGGAAGAGUCCCAGUCUGCACAGGUUGCCCUGCAACAAACACCAGCUGGGCCGAGUCAGGGGCCUGAGCCUGCCCUGGCUCCAGAUGCGGGGAUUACCUCGUUGCCUCCAGCUGGGCCAUCACUUACAGCUGCUCCACUACCGGUUGGGUCAGGGGAGGCUGAGGCGGCCCCUGGGUCUAGUAACCCACCGAUGUCUCCCGAGCUGCAGAGACUAAGGUCUGAGAGAAGGAGAGACCUGAGUACAGUGGUACCUUGGGUUACAUAUGCUUCAGGUUACAGACUCUGCUAUCCCAGAAAUAGUACCUCGGGUUAAGAACUUUGCUUCAGGAUGAGAACAGAAAUCAUGCUCCGGCGGCACGGCAGCAGUGGGAGGCCCCAUUAGCUAAAGUGGUGCUUCAGGUUAAGAACAGUUUCAGGUUAAGAACGGACCUCCGGAACGAAUUAAGUACUUAACCAGAGGUACCAUUGUACUUGCAGGAGGAGUGCUCACCUUCGGGCAAAACAGGGAGGUGAGUCGCAGGGGGAUCAGGACCGGCCGCUACCCCGACAAAGAUAAAAGGCUGUCAGACCCCGUCUGUAUGCUAGAACCUGCCAGAGAUCCUGUACCUGUCCUUGCCUGGAUUCCUGCCUCGUGUCCUGCCUUGGCCCUUUCGGACUGACUCCCAGCGGAACCUCCGGAUUCUGGACCAGUCCUGGACCGCGUUUCAUGGGUUACCCCUGGCCCCAGCAUACCACCACUGCCUGGGCUCUGAGCCUUCUUCCCUUGGGGGUUUCCCAGCUGGUUCCCCCCACCCUUCUUCUGUGCCCAGCCAGGCCAUGGCAAUUCCACUCGCAGGACCUGUAUGUGUUUUAGCAAGUGCCAUCUUACAUGAGGUGUUCCCUCCUGCAUGAGAAGGAAAUGUGCAGAAUAGUGUAAUUAUAUCGUUUUGUCACUAAAGUAGUGAUGGAUUUAAUGAACUUGGGAGACUCCCAUUUCUGCAAUAAUGCAAUAGCACUGGGGAAGCAUUGCAGACCCACUCAUAAUGUGGAAGGUCCACCGCUUAAUAAGAAUUAAUAAAUACACUACUAAUGC
Molecule: non-coding RNA, 2814 nt
Organism: Podarcis lilfordi (Lilford's wall lizard)
Lineage: Eukaryota; Metazoa; Chordata; Lepidosauria; Squamata; Lacertidae
Source: the annotation of a GenBank genome assembly